This 292-nucleotide ribosomal RNA is filed under the name uncultured bacterium. Its description in RNAcentral is "partial 16S ribosomal RNA". The record is from RNAcentral.
GGACUACUGGGGUAUCUAAUCCUGUUUGAUCCCCACGCUGUCGCGCCUGAGCGUCAGUAAUGAGCCAGUGAGCCGCCUUCGCCACCGGUGUUCUUCCCAAUAUCUACGAAUUUCACCUCUACACUGGGAAUUCCACUCACCUCUCUCAUACUCAAGCUAAACAGUUUCAAUGGCAGUUCCGGAGUUGAGCUCCGGGCUUUCACCACUGACUUGGAUAGCCGCCUGCGCGCGCUUUACGCCCAGUAAUUCCGAACAACGCUAGCCCCCUUCGUAUUACCGCGGCUGCUGGCAC